This 741-nucleotide ribosomal RNA is filed under the name uncultured bacterium. RNAcentral's name for it is "bacterial SSU rRNA". It matches the Rfam family "Bacterial small subunit ribosomal RNA", at positions 67 to 830 of the family's 1533-position model. The record is from RNAcentral.
CGGGAGAAUUGCUAGCUUGCUAUAAUUCUCUAGUGGCGCACGGGUGAGUAACACGUGAGUAACCUGCCCCCAAGAGUGGGAUAGCCCCGGGAAACUGGGAUUAAUACCGCAUAAAAUCGCAAGAUUAAAGCAGCAAUGCGCUUGGGGAUGGGCUCGCGUCCUAUUAGUUAGUUGGUGAGGUAACGGCUCACCAAGGCGAUGACGGGUAGCCGGUCUGAGAGGAUGUCCGGCCACACUGGAACUGAGACACGGUCCAGACACCUACGGGUGGCAGCAGUCGAGAAUCAUUCACAAUGGGGGAAACCCUGAUGGUGCGACGCCGCGUGGGGGAAUGAAGGUCUUCGGAUUGUAAACCCCUGUCAUGUGGGAGCAAAUUAAAAAGAUAGUACCACAAGAGGAAGAGACGGCUAACUCUGUGCCAGCAGCCGCGGUAAUACAGAGGUCUCAAGCGUUGUUCGGAAUCACUGGGCGUAAAGCGUGCGUAGGCGGUUUCGUAAGUCGUGUGUGAAAGGCGGGGGCUCAACCCCCGGACUGCACAUGAUACUGCGAGACUAGAGUAAUGGAGGGGGAACCGGAAUUCUCGGUGUAGCAGUGAAAUGCGUAGAUAUCGAGAGGAACACUCGUGGCGAAGGCGGGUUCCUGGACAUUAACUGACGCUGAGGCACGAAGGCCAGGGGAGCGAAAGGGAUUAGAUACCCCUGUAGUCCUGGCAGUAAACGGUGCACGCUUGGUGUGCGGGGA